CUUUGACAUAACAUUUGCAUAGAAGACAUACUUGGUUAAUGUAAAAUGCAUAGUUAUUUGAAGUGUGAAAAGCGGAUACAAAAGAUGUGGCUGAGUGCACUUCCUUCUCAUCCACCAAGCCAUACUUUGGACUAACUAUGGUUCCAAGCAGAGAGACCAGCAAUAGUGAAAUAGUAAAGGCUCAAAGCAGGACCUUGUGUGGCUCUUCCAGGAGCAGCAGAAGGCCAGCUUGGCUAGAACAUGAAGAAACAGAAAAUGAACAGAAAAUUUCUGGAACCGAAUCACUUCUAGAAAUAUUGGGAGUUUCUUGGAUAUUUAAGGAGGAUGAAACAGAUCAUACAGACAGAGCAAUCUGAUCAAAAUGGUAUGCACUUCCAAUUCAUUGCUUGUCAUACACAAGAGCCUGGAAUUUGUCUGCUGAAUUCUUCAUGCAGUAACACAAGAAGAUACUAGUGGGCUCAGAGUGAGGCCAUGCAGUGUGUAUCAGAAGCCUUGACCUUGGAGUUUGCACAUGUGUGAAGAAUGAAACCACCCUUUCUCCAGUGGCGCAUCAGGCUUGGAAUGGAGACCCUAGGAAGAUCCCUUGCUCCUUCAGCAGUGUGAACACAACAAGAAGAUGGCCAUUCAUCUAGGAGUCAAGAACCAACCUGUGACACCUUGAUGUGGGGUGUACCAGCCUCCUGAACUGAUUCUAGGACAUUCAGAUACAGAUUCCCAAGGGAACUGCAUAUUAUGAUUACAGAAUUCAGAGGACAGUUCAGAUAUACAGAUGGUCUUGGAGAAGAUAACUAAGUUUUCAAGGUGCUGAAGAGGAAAGCUGCAGCUCUGAAACUUACCUGCUAUGUUUUUGGCCCAAAGGCAAUUCUUCAUUAAGUCUUCAGUGUGCAGUGACCCUCUCUGGAUUCUAGUCUGCCUCCUAUUUCAAACUUUGCCACAGUAAGAGAGUUCAGAUAGCAAAGCCACAAAGUGUUAAUAUGAGAUAACCUGGGAGCUUCAGAGAGAGGAAAAGUAAGAAACUUCUUGAUUAGAGAUUGGAACAGGCAAUCAUGUAGAGAACAUUUGGUUGUGAAGAACCAACAGGCAGAGACUUUUCAGCCAUUAUGACAAGCUGCUUUCUUCACAGUUGCUAAGACAACUUCUUGGCUAAAAGAUUUGAAAGGCCUUUGCUGCUAGAUAGACCACUAGGGAUCCAUCAAAACAAUAAAUACAAUUUCCACAGGAUCUAAUAGGUGAAGAAAAGAUACACCGUUAUUCGGCUACAGCUUUUAUUUGGGGAAAGAAGAGGUGAGCAAGAGAGAUCUGGUGAAAGUCCAUGGAGAAUCAGGUGCCGGGCCAAUUACACUACUGCUCCCUCCCCUCCUGCAGUUAACUGAGGUGGUUGGAUCUUGGGAAAGAGGUAGGUAUCCAAGCCCAGAGCACUAGCAGGACAAGGGCCCAGAGAGUGAUCCAGAUCCACCAGUCUUCUUGCUCAUAGGCAGGCAAUUAAGCAAAUCACAGCAAGGGUGGAACUAGCUUGGAGACCUGUAAUUGAACUACGACGGAAAUACAAAUGAGACUGUGAGGACACUUUGACUUUGUG
Heterocephalus glaber (naked mole-rat) is the source of this 1579-nucleotide long non-coding RNA. NCBI's taxonomy places the organism in Eukaryota, Metazoa, Chordata, Mammalia, Rodentia, Bathyergidae. The record is from Ensembl.